This 1794-nucleotide ribosomal RNA is filed under the name Durio zibethinus. RNAcentral's name for it is "SSU rRNA". It matches the Rfam family "Eukaryotic small subunit ribosomal RNA". The record is from RNAcentral. Lineage: Eukaryota; Viridiplantae; Streptophyta; Magnoliopsida; Malvales; Malvaceae.
CCUAGAUGAUCCUGCUUGUAGUCAUAUGCUUGUCUCAAAGAUUAAGCCAUACAUAUGUAAGUAUGAACUAAUUUAGACUGUGAAACUGUGAACGGUUCAUUAAAUUAGUUAUAGUUUGUUUGAUGGUAUCUAUUAGUCAAAUAACCAUAGUAAUUCUAGAGCUAAAAUGUGUAACAAACCCUGACUUCUAGAAGAGAUGCAUUUAUUAGAUAAAAGGUCAAUGUGAGCUUUGCUCGUUGCUCGAUGAUUCAUGAUAACUCGAUAGGUUGCACGACCUUUGCACCAGCAGCACAUCAUUCAAAUUUCUAUCCUAUCAGCUUUCAAUGUUAGGAUAGUGGCCUACUAUAGUGGUGACGGGUUAUAAAGAAUUAAGGUUCAAUUUCAGAGAGAGAGCCUAAAAAUGGCUACCACAUCUAACGAAGAUAACAAAUGCACAAAUUACCUAAUCUUGACAUGGGGAUGGAGUGAUAAUAAAAAAUAAUACUAGGCUCUAUAAAUCUAGUACUUAGAAUGAGUAUAAUCAAAUCCCUUAAUUAGAAUCCAUUUAAGGGUAAGUCUAGCACCAGUAGCCAUAGUAAUUCCAACUCUAAUAGUGCAUACUUAAGUUGUUGUAGUUAAAAAGCUCAUAAUUAGAAUUAGGGUUAAGUUAUCUGGUCUGCCACACAAUAAGCACCAGUCUAAUCAUCCUUAUUACCGGUGAUAUGCUCUUGGCCUUAACUGGCUAGGUCAUUCCUCUAGUGCUAUAACUUUGAAAAAAUUAGAGUGCUUAAAGCAUGCUUAUGCUUGUAUACAUUAGCAUGGGACAACAUCAUAGGAUUUCAAUCAUAUGGGUUUGGCCUUUGAGAUCGAAGUAAUGAUUAACAAAAACAAUCAGGGGCAUUCUUAUUUUAUAGUUAGAGGUGAAAUUCUUAGAUUUAUGAAAGACGAACAAUUACCAAAGCAUUUACCAAGGAUGUUUUCAUUAAUCAAGAAUAAAAAUUGAGGGCUAGAAGAUGAUCAGAUACCAUCCUAGUCUCAAUCAUAAAUAAUGCUAACUAGAGAUCAGUGAAUGUUACUUUUAGGACUCCAUUGGCACUUUAUGAGAAAUCAAAGUCUUUGGGUUCCAGGGUGAGUAUGGUCAUAACCCUAAAACUUAAAGGAAUUGAUGAAAGGGCACCAUCAAGAGUAAAGCCUACAGCUUAAUUUGGCUCAACAUAAGGAAACUUACUAGAUCCAGACAUAGUAAGGAUUGACAAACUAAGAGCUUUUUCUUGAUUUUAUAGGUGGUGGUGUAUGGCUAUUCUUAGUUAGUGGAGCAAUUUGUCUGGUUAAUUCUAUUAAUGAAUGAGACCUCAACCUACUAACUAGCUAUACAGAGGUGAUCUUUUGUGGCUAGCUUCUUAGAAGGAUUAUAUCCACUUAGACCAAGAAAAUUUAAGGCAAUAACAGGUUUUUGAUGUCCUUAGAUGUUCUAGACCACAUGCGCAAUACACUAAUGUAUUCAAUGAGUCUAUAGCCUUGGUUGAUAGGCUCGAGUAAUCUUUAAAAUUUCAUCAUAACAAGGAUAAAUCAUUGCAAUUAUUGGUAUUCAAUGAGGAAUUCCUAGAAAGUAUGAUCAUCAACUCAUGUUGACUAUGUCCCUGCCCUUUACAAACACCACCCAUCACUCUUACCAAUUGAAUUAUUUGGAGAAGUGUUUGGAUAGCAACAAUGUGAAUGGUUCGCUACAUGCAACAUCAUGAGAAUUCCACUAAACCUUAUCAUUUAGAGGAAUGAGAAGUCAUAACAAGGUAUUCGUAGGUAAAACUACGAAUG